UUUUGCUUUUAUCAUAUACCGGUAAUAGAGAUUUCAACCUUGAUAUAGUAUGUAAAUUUGUGUUUGUAUGGCUACCUAUAAAUUGAUUAUGACUUAACGAUUUACUCAACCUAAGUCCAAACAAACCUAGUUCAACCUAAUAGCAUAACGUUCCUACAUUUACAUUCGCAUUCCUCUCACAAUGCCGUGUGGUCGUUUAAGACAAAAUCACUAAAUUUGCCACCAAAGUUCUGGAAACUGACAACAAAAUAGAUAAGUUAAAUUUUAAAUGUAAAGUCUCAUUCAAACGCAGUCUAAGGCGCGUAGCUUGUUGAUAUAAUAUGCGCCUAGUCCCAGUACCCUAUCUGUACAUCUGUUAUGGAUAUCGUUAUGAUAGUUGGCAGGCAUAUGGAGGCUGCUCAAAGGACAUGCCAUGAUCGCGCGCGCGUGCAGGCAUCGUUAUCUUAAUGCAACAACGAUAAUGGCUUCCAAAUGUAUGUCGCAUAUCCUAAACUAGAUCGUUGCUCUGUUGAUCUAGAUGAUUGUCACAACACAAUCUGUUUCUGGGGUUGAGCUUUAUCUAUGGCCUACAGUAGAGUAGAAAACAGAAGUGUCAUGAACUGUAAGUGUAUAGUGGCGGCGGCGCGCUCGAACGUUCGAUAUUGUUUUUAUCUAUAGGCAACAUAUUGAUCAUUCAUCGUAGAUGAUACGUCUCCCCGAAGUACAAAGCUGGCUUAUUUAAUGAUCCCACUGCAUGUGAUUACGGGCAUUAUUGUCAGAAUGUUCGAAUCGCGCACGGUUGAUUACAUAUACAUGAUAUUCAUACUUGUGGAAAUAAUAAUCAUCCUGCAACGCUUAAAGAAAAGAGGCGACUCAACUGUCCAUCAUGAAGGUUGGCUCUGGCAUGAUGAUACACCAUCAGCUAUAAAUGGCGACGACAGCAUGUAUUCGGGCACCCCACCUAGUGUUGUAUUCGUAAAUGAGCGAAAUUUUCGCUGAGCUUUUUCACGGGUAGGUGUGUGAUUCACAUGUUUUCAGUCCAUUCAACGAGUUUGACGAGUGUUCAGCAGAGAUAAUGGAUACCUUCUAGGGGAAACUUGCAGAUAGGACAUUAACAGCAAAGGCCGUAGCCAAGAUGGACUAGUGCAAAAAACACUUCUCUCCGAAUUCACACCUGGCCAGAACAUCAAUUAAUUGAUUCAAAUUUCCUACCCCUCAAUGUGGUCACUUAUUCGAACUAGGAUUUUAUUCGUAAUGAAGUCUACUAAAUACACAGCGCGCAUCUGGAACGAUAAGUCGUGUCUUCUCCAAUAACUGACGUGGGCUUCCAGCUUCAGGUAAGGUCUUCAGUAGAGACGGAAAUUACUCAAAGCUGCUUGGCCACUUAGGCGCGAUUGAAAAUAGAGAAAAAGAUAGAACAGAAAUAAAGCACAGCCAUCAGCAAAUGUGCGAUUUGCAAAUGCGCUGAUAUUGUAACAAACGCAAAUGAUCAAGAGCAAUGUUUUCCAUUAUCGCUAACUCGAAGUGCUCGAGACAGCGGCGAAAUGCGAAUUUUCUAAAUAAUACAGGUUGAAGGCUGUUGCAGGCAAAGCUGCACAGAUGGUCGACACGCGCGUUCACAAUGUGAAAAGGGAGUUUUAUGAAAAAUGCGUGUUUGUCAUAAAGAGUAAUUGUUUGAUAUUGAUACUACGCAGCCGUGAAUUUCAGGGGAGUGAAGCGCAGCUAGGAAUGAAUGAGUUCCAAUUUUGUUUGAAACAUUCGGGCGGACGUACGCCGACUGCAUGGAACAUUCGUCCUUCUAUCAAUGAGGAAAAUAUUUGCCAGCGCACGAAUUGCAAAUUCUGGCCAAUUUUACAGUCGAAAUAGGAGAGCAACAUGCGUGCUUUAGAAAUUCGUUUUGCCUUCGUCAUCUCUAGAAGCUAUAAUAAUAAUAAAAUUGAUCAUCCAUGUUCCAUUUCUCAACCGCUAACAUAAAACUAAAAGCUAAGGUAAAACAAAAAAAUACAAAAUUGCAGAGCGCGUGUGCUGUCUUAGUCUCACAAUUAUGUACAAGUACAACUACGAAAGCGGUAUACGCAGACCAGAUAUACGUCAGAAUCUAACCCGUAUGGAGAAUUCCCCAAAAUAUUUUGUAAGACUAUUUUUUAAGCUGGCGUAUGAGGCAACUGGCAACGAGACUGUUCAGAAAAUGUUUAACUUCGAGGUGACCAGAUAAUGAUCGCAGCCUGUCGUAGAUCCAAAACGCGACACCAAACGCUUACUUACGGUUUAGGAUAUUUAUGGGUAUUGUGGUUUGUGGUAAGCUCGUUGCAGAACGGUAAAUUGGUUAUAGUUGCUUAGUGCAGAUUGCAGUCAACAGAGUUGACAAGGUCCUUUAUCAAUGAAUUGCUUGAAUACGGUUAGGCGUAAUAGUAGAAUAUAUGUAAGGGUACAAAUAAUGCAAAAUAUUAAUGGAGGUCUGUCUAGAACAGGAGGGCUAGGUCGAUUAAAUUUUGCCUUAGGAAGUCUCGUGCGCUUCUAUGAUUACGUGUUGCUGCUCCUGUGCUAUGUGUAGUAGAGUUAUCAGUAUUUGGCAAAUAAAAAUUUUAAAACAUAUUUGAAAAGCUACUUAGCGGCCCACAAAGCUUGAGUAACUUUUAUGCUAUAUGAAAAAGAUUAACGAUAUGUUUGUAUUUGAGGUGAGUCAGUUCGUACAUUCUUUUGCUAGUGCUUUUAGUUAGUUUUAUACUUACACCGGGCAUACGAUAUACAAUCCCAUGAUACGAUUUCAUAACAUGUGCUUCGAAGAGUCUCAUAUUGAGCCAAUAGGGAAUGCUUUCGUACAGUGUGUUUUUACUACUUUUUGAUGGAUUCUAUCAACUGCGUUAGCUUCGAGAGGUACACAAAACCACCGAGCUACGAUUUUUAGCAUUAAAUAAGAUCCUCGUUUUUGAAAUCAUUAUUCCCUGGCGGCAUCCAAUUAGCUAACAGCCGUAGAUAAGCGUAAUAUCGUGCGAAUAUUAACCGGAUUUCGUAGGUCAGUGGAGCGUAGCGUAAAGGUUAAUCGAAUUGUUCGACUCACUAAAUACUUACCACAAUUGAAUCACGAACUAGCAAGACGAUGGAUUUUGGUAAAUACCUCAUUAAGCAACGCGUUUUCAUCAUUGAAUAGCUAUGUUGGGAAGUCAGGGAAUACAAAACAUACAAUAAGUUUUUUUUUUUAUAUAUUCAGGUAUAUGGGCUUAAAAUAAGCACAUUUUUGAAGUUACUAUGCGGUAUGGCACAUAGGCUCGUGGGUAUGCGUAUCCAGGUAUAGAUGAAAUGUUUGUUAUGUAAUGCAUCUUGCGGAACAAUUGAAUUGAACUAGGACUUUCUAUUAUCAAAAGAAUACCGAGGGUUUAGAUUGAUUGGCUGUACUCGAAAAAUGGUAAGCACCUUAUUAGAAAGGUGUGAUAGUGCUAAUCUCGUGGGCGAUGUCGAACUCUAAAAAUCGUAUCGCGAAUAGUGCGCCUCUACAGUUGUAAGUGAAUCUAUUGCCGUAAUAAAUGUGUGUUCAAAUUGUAAAAUAAGGUACAAAUAGGUUCAUAGCUAGAUUUUAAGUGUAUGGAGUAUGUCGACCCGACAAGAAGACCAUCUCGAGAUAACAUUGUGUUCAACUCCAAAGGCCUAACAUUAGUGCUUGCCAACGAUUUCAUUUAUAAUUGCUAUGUGUGUGUGUAUGUAAUGAAAUGUGAGAUGGUGUGCUUUUCUGACCAUGCUCGACUUUGGGUGAAUGUAAAAUGACUUAGUAAAGGAUGGAUGAUAUGCACGUUCGCCCGCUUGGAUUCAGUUACAUUCUGCGAAUCCCCAAGAAAGUGGUAAAAAAAUGUGAAAAGAGUCAAGGGCUUACGUAUAUAAAUCUAGACAAUUAUGUGACGUAUGUGAUCAUCCGACAGCAUAUGGCUAAUGUUGACCUGUACGAAGCACACACCAUUCUGACAGAAUAGCUUCAUAAUUAUUUAUGAAACUAAUUCUGUAGAAAUAGCGUGCGUAAGGACGUCGCUUACGUGCAUGAAAACUCGUAUAGAAAUUGAAAAAGGUGGAUGCGCAAAAAAUGCAACUUGAUUGAUACGUUUAUUCCAAAUUUUUGUUUACGUAUUACCUACAAAGGAAGGAAUAUGAUUUAAACUAUUAUUAAUUUAAACUAUAUUAAAUCUAACCUUAAAUAUGGAUGGACUGAUUAGAAACCAUAAUGUAGCUCUUAAUGAUUUCGAUAGUCUAAUGCUAAAUAAAAGGUGCAGUGUAAAUAAUGAACAAAAAUAUUUGCAAGAUGAAAACUCGAUCACUUACAUCAGUUGUACAGAUACGUCGCGUUAGCUAAUUUACAAAAGGCCGGGACCGCUGGUCAAAAGCCGACGUUACGUACCUACAUUAUGCCUUACAUUAGAACCAUACUCCAGAGCCGACCUAUGUACGUUUUGCGAUUGGACGUAAGCCUUUCGAAUUUACGGCAUAUCUUUUUUAUGAUAGUACUUAUUCGUUCCAUACGAUUUUAUAUACGAUAGUAAAUAUUAGAUAAUAAAUAGUAUUGAUCGUAAUACUGUGGUCAAA
RNAcentral lists this long non-coding RNA (4548 nucleotides) under Varroa destructor (honeybee mite). Its description in RNAcentral is "uncharacterized LOC111244121, transcript variant X2". The record is from RNAcentral. Lineage: Eukaryota; Metazoa; Arthropoda; Arachnida; Mesostigmata; Varroidae.